GUGCUUGCUUCGGCAGCACAUAGACUAAAAUCGGAACAAUACAGAGGUUAGCAUGGUCCCUGUGCAAGGAUGACAUGCAAAUUCAUGAAGCGGUCUGUAUUUUU
This is a small nuclear RNA of Octodon degus (degu), 104 nucleotides long. Lineage: Eukaryota; Metazoa; Chordata; Mammalia; Rodentia; Octodontidae. The record is from Ensembl.